This 305-nucleotide ribosomal RNA is filed under the name Staphylococcus aureus. RNAcentral describes it as "partial 16S ribosomal RNA". It matches the Rfam family "Bacterial small subunit ribosomal RNA", at positions 1237 to 1533 of the family's 1533-position model. The record is from RNAcentral. Lineage: Bacteria; Bacillati; Bacillota; Bacilli; Caryophanales; Staphylococcaceae.
AUACAAAGGGCAGCGAAACCGYGAGGUCAAGCAAAUCCCAUAAAGUUGUUCUCAGUUCGGAUUGUAGUCUGCAACUCGACUACAUGAAGCUGGAAUCGCUAGUAAUCGUAGAUCAGCAUGCUACGGUGAAUACGUUCCCGGGUCUUGUACACACCGCCCGUCACACCACGAGAGUUUGUAACACCCGAAGCCGGUGGAGUAACCUUUUAGGAGCUAGCCGUCGAAGGUGGGASAAAUGAUUGGGGUGAAGUCGUAACAAGGUAGCCGUAUCGGAAGGUGCGGCUGGAUCACCUCCUUUCUAAGGA